This 340-nucleotide ribosomal RNA is filed under the name uncultured bacterium. Its description in RNAcentral is "bacterial SSU rRNA". It matches the Rfam family "Bacterial small subunit ribosomal RNA", at positions 355 to 707 of the family's 1533-position model. The record is from RNAcentral.
UGGGGAAUAUUGGGGCAAUGGAGGAAACUCUUACCCAGCAAUGCCGCGUGAGUGAUGAAGGUCUUAUGGAUUGUAAAGCUCUUUGAUUAGGGACGAAUAAAAUGACGGUACCUAAAGAACAAGCCCCGGCUAACUAUGUGCCAGCAGCCGCGGUAAUACAUAGGGGGCGAGCGUUGUCCGGAAUGACUGGGCGUAAAGGGUGUGUAGGCGGUUUGGUAAGUUAGAAGUGUAAUACCCAGGGCUUAACUCGGGUGCUGCUUCUAAUACUGCCGGACUUGAGUGUAGGAGAGGAUGAUGGAAUUCCCAGUGUAGCGGUGAAUGCAUAGAUAUUGGGAGGAAC